Danaus plexippus (monarch butterfly) is the source of this 3540-nucleotide long non-coding RNA. RefSeq lists it as uncharacterized. The transcript has 3 exons. Lineage: Eukaryota; Metazoa; Arthropoda; Insecta; Lepidoptera; Nymphalidae. The record is from RefSeq and is a predicted model, not a curated record.
CCACUAACAUUACAUAGCUGAUUUCAUUAAAUAAAACAAAUAUAUUAAUCUUCGGACUUCCGUUUUAGUUUAUUUUCGUUAUAAUAUUUUUCAUAAAUUAAUUUCAAAACCAUUUUGAAUGUUUCAGAAUACUACUGUAAAUAUAUUAUUUUCUUUAUAAUUUUUGUUCAUUGUUUUUUAUUGACGUAACUUUAUUUUUAAUUAUUUGUAAUAUAAAAAUAUUGUAUUUAGGAUGCAACUGAAACAACUUCGGCUGGGGGGAAUACCACGGAGACCGAGGCUGGUUCUACUUUAUUGGUAUGUUUUCUUAUCAUUUAUAUAAUGUUUAUUAAUGUAUAUAUUACCUAUAUGUGUGACUGUAAAAUAUCGAACUGCGGUAAAUCCUACCAUUAACAAAAUCCUAAUGUUGAAUGUUCAAAAACGUAUUAAGUUAGGUUGAAUGAAGUAAAAACUUAACAAUAACUCAUUAUUUAAUUUACAAAACCAAUAUCAGCUGGCAGCAGGAAAACCAAGCAUUUACUGAAUUCGAAUUGCUAACAAACCGACAAAAUCUUCCUAUUUUCAACAUGUACAAACUCGUAAUCUUAAAACUAAGUUUUAGUAGAAAAUAAAAGAAAUAUCUCGAAAGUCUUAGGUCUCAUUAUACUGGAAACAUCUUAAGACUUGCCGUACUUCGAGUAUUUACAGUAACAUAUAUACUGUAUAGUCACUUAUCAGAUUCAACAGCAGUUGUAUUAUGAGUGAAAAGUUUAACUUUGAAAACUACAUAAAAAAUAAUACAAUAUUCCCAUCAAAAGGAUAAUAGUUUUAUGAAAAAUUUCAGCUUACCGUGAGUAUAAAUGUUAAUAUAUAUAUUUUUUAAACGAAAAAAACAUAAAUCGAAAUUAAUUUUGUGAACUUAAAUAUUGCAAAUUUUAAGCUAAACUUUUUUAAUUUACGUCGAAAGUUUUUUAUGAAAUCUAAAAUUUACAGAUGGAGGUAAAUAUAUACAUAUAUAUAUAUUUAAAUAUGUUUAUAUAAAUGAGCAUAUUAUACUUAGUACUAAAUAUAACGCUUCAUCAUUUCAGACGGGCGCCGUAAGUAUUAUACACGUAGAGUAUAAACUGAAAUUUAAAUAUUUUUAUUCAACCUACUCAUGUUUUGACAGGAGGCAGUAAGUUUGUAUUUUGUUCGUUUGAUUAUUAUUAUUAUACCGUAAAAAGUAUUUUAAAACAUUAACGUAACGACUGAAGAUGACGAAAGAAACGCUAUAUAUAUAUUUUUAUUUGUAUCCGAGUCACAAUCUGAAUAUUUAAAUAUAAUGCUAGCUAUAUGGGCAAAGAUUUCGAUUAGGGGAUGAAAAUGUUUGAAGCAAUAUUCUUAGAGAAUUCUAACCCCUGAAUUUUAUUACAUUUCGAAUGGAAUAUAGGUAUUGGUUUUGGUGAAUAGCAAACAAUAAUAAAUCUAAAUAUCUUAACCUAAUCUGGUUAGAUAAAAAUUGACUAAACUUAACUUAAAAAAAAGUCCUGUUACCUAAGAAAAAGUCCUAUACUAGAUUAGAAUUAAGAAAAUGAUCGAGCGAUAGAAGAAGUUAGAAAUAGGAGUAGAAGUAGUAGUAGAAGUUAAUGGAAACAUCAACAAAUGCAAAGGAUAGAAUUGUUAUACUGGAUAGAAAAGACAGAAAAAGGAAAGAGGAGACAAGAGAGCCUGUAAAAUAUACAGACUGGUUUGUGGAAGAGGUAAAAAAAAUAACGACAUCCUCUCCGACGAUUUGAAAACUCACAACGAUGAGGACUUGCUACAUAAAAUACGGUCGAGAAAUAGGGAGGUGUUGGCGGCUCUGGAGCCCUUAUCGAAGGAUAGUCUGAAACCCUGACAAGUGCUAGGUGGAACUCAGUAGUAUUGACAUUUGGCUUUACCUGGUCUUGAUAUACGGAGGCUGCCAAUUGAUCUGGAUCCCGUUAGGUUCCCAGACCAGUCAAUCUUGUUGCAGGUACUCCCUGAGCCUCGGAUAUAGGUAUAGCAAUAAAUUCAGAGAGCAGAGCAGAGCAGAUUUAUUUUGCCAUUGCCAAUGAGAGAGGUUCAUCUAUUCAGAACAUAGAGAGUCCCGCGAGGAUAAGAUGGGAUAGUUCAGCCAGGGUUGUACCGGUGCUAAUGCCCUUCUCACAGAUAUAGGCCCAUAGUCGUGUACCCUACGACAAUAAAUCCUAUUUAGAACUGAGUAGCACUAGACAUAAGGGUCUUUACAAAUGUCAAAACCAAGAAAUCAACAUUCAGCAUCUCAAGAUAUAGAUUAGAAAAACUGAUAUCUAACAGAGACAACUAACUAAAACAAAUUACUUACCAAAUUGCCUACAGGAAGUUGUAUGUGAUGCUAUUUUAUAAUGACACAAUGCGCAAGGAAAAAGAUUAGUCGAGAAACAUUUCCCGAGCCGUGGUGGUCCAAACAGCUCAUAAAAUAAAAAGGGAAUUCGUGAGUCAUAGUUUCGGUUCAAAGGGAUUGUGCAGUAGAAGUAAUGUAACAUAAGUAGAACAACAGGAGAACUGUAAGAGAAGAUACGGAGGGGAGAAGUUGAAGGUUGAAAAGGUUUGGCUAGCAACAGGCCUGGGAGGGAGUACGGAAACUAGAAGAUCAGAAAAAAAUAGUGAUGAAGAGGAGGAAAAAGGACACAAAGAGUAUCAUUAUAAGGAUGACCUUUUGUGAUUGAGGAUACAAAUGACCUUUACGAUUAAUCCUGAGACGGAUCUGGAUCGAAUCGUCGAAGAUUGCGAUAAGUACUAUCGAUAGAUGAACGUAUAGAUAUUUAUUGACAUUUUUCUCCCCCAAUCGUAAUGGCAGUUGUUAGAUGUAUUUACAUAUAGUUGUCUAGUAUGUGUAUGUUAGUGUAUAUAUUGUUGUUGUUGGAUUUAAAUGAACUAAUUAUAUUUUUAAAUUCACUGACAGCCCGAGGUAAGUUUGAUGAGUACAAGAAAAAUUAUGAAUGCAUGCAAAAUAAUUAAAUAAUAAUAAAAACUUCGUUUUCAGAAUGUCGUAAGUAUUUUUUUUUGCUACAGCCAUAUUGAAUUUCUUCUUUUAUAUUAUAUUUUAUUUUAUUGUUAUUUCAAAAUCCCUCUUUUUCAGUUCACGGUGAGUUGGAAAAAACUACAAGUUUUUUUUUGUUUAGUAAAUAUUAUCUUUUUAAAAUAAUAGAAUUCAAGGAGAAAACGGCUUUGCUGUUACAAUUCCUAAACAUUCGUAUGUUUUUGGAUUUCAUACGAUAUUUAAACGAAUAAUUAUUUGAAAGGGAUAACAGAGAGAGGGAACUAAACGUUAAUAUUAUACAUUUGAAAAUAAUGCCACUGAAACAAAUUUUUGGAGAAAUAUUAUAUAUAUUUCUCCAAAAAUUAUAUAUAUAUAACAUUUUUUUUGUGAUAAUAAUAAAUUAUCUCUAUUUAAAGGAUAAAUACGUAAGUGUUUGAAAAGUUCCUUGUAAUAAUAAAGAAUUAUUAAUUAAAUUAUAAAUUUAUAAGAAUUCAUUAUACUGAUAUUAUUUUAAAUUAUCUUUUUUACAUGAAAAACCA